CCAAACUUGGUCAUUUAGAGGAAGUAAAAGUCGUAACAAGGUUUCCGUAGGUGAACCUGCGGAAGGAUCAUUUUUGAAUCUGGUCUCAGCGCUUAACUGCGCGGGACUAAACCUUCACACUUGUUUAUUGUAAUACUGUCAGACGGACGUCAGUCCGGCUGUAAAACAUAACUCUAAGAUCUAAUCUUAACUUAACACUAGUCAUGAAAUUUUACCUAAAAUAAAAUAUUCAAAACUUUCAACAACGGAUCUCUUGGUUCUCGCAUCGAUGAAGAACGCAGC
RNAcentral lists this unclassified non-coding RNA (282 nucleotides) under uncultured fungus. Its description in RNAcentral is "partial contains small subunit ribosomal RNA, internal transcribed spacer 1, and 5.8S ribosomal RNA". The stretch from base 1 to 73 matches the Rfam family "Eukaryotic small subunit ribosomal RNA", at positions 1759 to 1831 of the family's 1831-position model. The record is from RNAcentral. Lineage: Eukaryota; Fungi.